Molecule: long non-coding RNA, 315 nt
Organism: Pelmatolapia mariae (spotted tilapia)
Lineage: Eukaryota; Metazoa; Chordata; Actinopteri; Cichliformes; Cichlidae
Exons: 3
Source: RefSeq, a predicted model, not a curated record
GUUCAACUCAAACCUGUAAAAACCUCACAUAACGGUCCCUGGCUGUGUUUCAUCACCUGUGGCAGCAAUACGUUUAUUGAGCCUCUGGCCAUCACAGUACAAGAGCCUUCAACUACAACAACUCCACCAACCACCCUGAAGAACAUCACAUUGUUUGUAACGAGUGUUCAGAAGACAACACGUACAACACGUACAACACGUGCAACAUGUACUGCCAACGAUUGCCCACUGGGACUCUCCUGUUGGAUGUGGAUUGCAAUCGGAGUCUGCUGUCAGUUUGGGAUAUUCCUGAUAGUUUGUGUCACUGUCUUGUGU